Long non-coding RNA from Peromyscus leucopus (white-footed mouse), 701 nucleotides. RefSeq lists it as uncharacterized. The record is from RefSeq and is a predicted model, not a curated record. Lineage: Eukaryota; Metazoa; Chordata; Mammalia; Rodentia; Cricetidae. The transcript has 3 exons.
GCUCCCUCCCGGUGUUACUAGCCCAGACUUUGCACACUACCCCUUGUGGCUCUUAGUUUUCGUGUCCCCCAAUCCUCCAUUUACCCAGCACCUUGAACAGUCCUGCUUCCCUUCCAAGGCUCGCCACCUGACUGACGCUCCGCGAGUGUUUUGAGCUGUCCAUCCUCAGACACUGCCGCAGAUAGGGGUUAUCGAUGAUGCUCUCCUCUCCGUUCCGGCUGCCAGACAAGGAGGAGUUCUGCUGCAGGACAGAUGCGUUCUCCUUCUCAGCUCCGGAAUCCUCCUUUGAGCAAAAGCCGAGACAAAGCAGAGCACCAGUUGCCGAGGAAAGAGACUGUGCCCACAGCGGGAACCACCUCUGGUGUCUCUUUCCUGAGCAGUGCUGACUCUAAAGGACCAAUAACCAUACUCCAGCAUAUUCCAGAACCUUCGGCAAUCCUGAAAUGAAGCUCAGCAAGGCGAAGCAGAGUCCCCGGAUACCCACACUUACAUACUGUCAGUGAUGCCUGUGACCUGUCAAUUGGUCUCUUCAUUAAUUUUUAGCAAAGUUUGAAUCUGGACCAAUGUUUAGUGUGUGUGUGUGUGUGUGUGUGUGUGUGUGUGUGUGUGUGUAUUCGGCGUGAAUUUAAAUUUAGAAAGUGACCUGGAUACAUGGAUAGUUGAUUUUCCUUAUUAAUAUUUAUACUCUCCUUUAGUUUCCA